UUCUAUUACAAAAUUAGAAACCAACAUUACAGGAUACAGAAAGGAACUCUAUGACAAAUUUACAAGCAGAUACCCAAACAUCAGUUAUAGAACAAUGCAUAGCAGAUCAAAGAAGAACCAUCAUCCACAGAAAUCUCGUACCACACAGUACAUUAGAAAAUGUUAAAACUCAGGUAUCACAACAAAUAUCACAACAUGAAACAGAUUCACAUACAAAUAGAACACAAAGUGUAACAGACACCAGAAAUAACAUUCACUGAUGACAACACACUGCCAUUAACAAUGCUGACACAGACCUAAUAAACUUGCUG
This 311-nucleotide long non-coding RNA is filed under the name Androctonus crassicauda. Lineage: Eukaryota; Metazoa; Arthropoda; Arachnida; Scorpiones; Buthidae. The record is from RNAcentral.